Molecule: ribosomal RNA, 501 nt
Filed under: uncultured bacterium
Lineage: Bacteria
Description: partial 16S ribosomal RNA
Rfam family: Bacterial small subunit ribosomal RNA
Source: RNAcentral
AUUGAACGCUGGCGGCAUGCCUUACACAUGCAAGUCGAACGGCAGCACGGGUGCUUGCAUCUGGUGGCGAGUGGCGAACGGGUGAGUAAUACAUCGGAACGUACCUUAUCGUGGGGGAUAACGCAGCGAAAGCUGUGCUAAUACCGCAUACGCCCUGAGGGGGAAAGCGGGGGAUCGCAAGACCUCGCGCGAUUAGAGCGGCCGAUGCCUGAUUAGCUUGUUGGUGGGGUAAAAGCCCACCAAGGCGACGAUCAGUAGCUGGUCUGAGAGGACGAUCAGCCACACUGGGACUGAGACACGGCCCAGACUCCUACGGGAGGCAGCAGUGGGGAAUUUUGGACAAUGGGGGCAACCCUGAUCCAGCAAUGCCGCGUGAGUGAAGAAGGCCUUCGGGUUGUAAAGCUCUUUUGUCAGGGAAGAAACACCGGCUCUAACACAGUCUGGGAAUGACGGUACCUGAAGAAUAAGCACCGGCUAACUACGUGCCAGCAGCCGCCGUAA